CUCUUGCUUCUGUAUGGAUUCAGUUCGGUAUAUACAAAAACCAGCUGGUCCGAACUAAAUUUCUUCCUAUCAGUUUAGGGAAUUCGAUUGAAAUCAUCUGUGUAGACGUUUAUAUAAAAUCUACCUGCAUUGUUUGUAAUAACUCGCUUUUGGUUUGGUUGUUUAACCGAAUCCACAUACAUCUCUCUUGAAGAUAUGCAUUUAAUCAUGUUUAAAAUUAAAAGUUCCACUAAUCAUUCACAUACUUCUUUUUCCAAUAACUUGCGACUUAGAAACUGGACUUGGGCAAAUUGGAAAGUCUUUGGGAUCAUUGGAUAAUUGUCCAAAGAAACAAAAUUAUCGAAUUUGGAUUUGUAAAAUGCUAAUAGUGGGAGAUGAAACUGAUAUUACAUUAUAAUUAAAUAGAAGAAAAAGUUAAACAGACCAUACAGGAGAUGGGGUUUAGGGUUGGUCCAGGGCACUGUCCUUUGAUCCCACUUGUCACGUGGCAAGGAGUGUCCGUCCCUUUGGUGCACUUUUAUUGAAACCACCACGAGGUGUCACGUGGGUAUAUCGCUCCAUCCCCACCUCAUGGGAGCCACAUCAUCAACCUGUUUUCCUCCCAUCUAGUUUUCUUUCUUUAGUCAAAAUUUCGGGGGAAUUUUGUGGGUAGCCCAAUUUGACCAAUUAAUUUACUUGAAUAAUCUUUUAUUACUUUUGAUAAAAAAAAAAAAAAUUCUUUUUUAGUAGCUAUGUUUAUGUUUCUUUUCUGACAAACUCCAAAUUUUAUCUGUCUGAUUACGAAAUCUCCGAUAAUAUCGAAUACCCAUUGUUACAAAGUUCCAUCUUUUGCGGCUGUUCAGCUCAGACAAAAAUUUCCAAAUUGAUUUCUAGGGUUUUCUGUGAGGUUAAUGUUGUUCUCUUUGUUUCUUUGUAUUCUCAUUUGAUUUUCGCAGGUGGGUUUGUGAAGAUUUUCCGUAAAGGUGAGUUCUUUUCCGAAUAAUUUAAUCUCAGAACAAUUUUAGCCUCUGUUUUUGUGUGUUUCAGUGUGUCGGUUCAGUUUAUUUCUAUUGCUUGGUUUCGUCCAGUUGAUUUCUGGGUUUAGGACCUUGGCCUUAAAUCUUGGGGCUCAUUUAUCCUUUGACGUAUUAAGUUUCUACAUCUUCACUUGAUGAAUAACUUAUAUUAAUCUUCUAAUGUGUGUUGUUACUAACUUGGAAGAAAGGAUGUACAUUCUCUGGUCCAACUUUGUCUUUUGAUUUAGGAACCUCUGUCUAGAUUUUACCAACCAAUUAGACCAAGUCUUACGCUGCACACAGAUAAGAGUUUGCAUCAUUGUAGAAAUGUACCUACAAUGUAUUAUUAUGCUAACUUGCCUUAUCGCAGUUAUAAUUUAUGAUUGUAUUUGUUUCAGGCACUAGGUGGUGAUCAUUUUUCAACAUGAACAACCCACAUCCUGAUGAUGAUCAUGUAAGCCACUUCUUAAAUUUAGUUAUUUUUAUCUUGAAACAAAAGAACCGAGUAAAUUUAUAUUUUUCUUUGAUCUUCUUCUCAAACUUUAGGAGGACACAACUGUUGCCGGAUUUGAAGUACCAGUAUCGCCGGUUUCAAGUUACAACAAUGUGUAUUCCGCAACCGAAGACGAGACAAGAGACCCACCAGCUGUACCGCCGCAUCUUCAACACUCUCUGUUAGGCCAUACAGGUAGCACGGAAUUGCCUUGUGCACCACAGAGUGUCGUCCUGAACCAUCUCUAUAUCGAAAAUCGAGACCCCCCAAGAUCCGUUGUAGCACUUGGUUUCUCGCAUCGGUUCAGGUCUAAGUAUGUCACUGUGGUGAUAUACAAGCCGGUCCAAAGAAGAGGAAACGCCAAUGUUUGAUGAUGAUGCCUCUUCUUAAUAUAGUGUUGGGAUCUCUUGCUUCUGUAUGGAUUCAGUUCGGUAUAUACAAAAACCAGCUGGUCCGAACUAAAUUUCUUCCUAUCAGUUUAGGGAAUUCGAUUGAAAUCAUCUGUGUAGACGUUUAUAUAAAAUCUACCUGCAUUGUUUGUAAUAACUCGCUUUUGGUUUGGUUGUUUAACCGAAUCCACAUACAUCUCUCUUGAAGAUAUGCAUUUAAUCAUGUUUAAAAUUAAAAGUUCCACUAAUC
This 2127-nucleotide long non-coding RNA is filed under the name Brassica napus (rape). RNAcentral's name for it is "long non-coding RNA (BNAP_LNC015447)". Lineage: Eukaryota; Viridiplantae; Streptophyta; Magnoliopsida; Brassicales; Brassicaceae. The record is from RNAcentral.